CCUACGGGUGGCAGCAGUGGGGAAUAUUGGACAAUGGGGGGAACCCUGAUCCAGGCAUGCCGCGUGUGUGAAGAAGGCCCUCGGGUUGUAAAGCACUUUCAGUGAGGAAGAACGCCUGGUGGUUAAUACCCAUCAGGAAAGACAUCACUCACAGAAGAAGCACCGGCUAACUCCGUGCCAGCAGCCGCGGUAAUACGGAGGGUGCGAGCGUUAAUCGGAAUUACUGGGCGUAAAGCGCGCGUAGGUGGCUUGAUAAGCCGGUUGUGAAAGCCCCGGGCUCAACCUGGGAACGGCAUCCGGAACUGUCAAGCUAGAGUGCAGGAGAGGAAGGUAGAAUUCCCGGUGUAGCGAUGAAAUGCGUAGAGAUCGGGAGGAAUACCAGUGGCGAAGGCGGCCUUCUGGACUGACACUGACACUGAGGUGCGAAAGCGUGGGUAGCAAACAGGAUUAGAUACCCGAGUAGUC
This 465-nucleotide ribosomal RNA is filed under the name Vreelandella stevensii. Its description in RNAcentral is "partial 16S ribosomal RNA". It matches the Rfam family "Bacterial small subunit ribosomal RNA", at positions 338 to 795 of the family's 1533-position model. The record is from RNAcentral. Lineage: Bacteria; Pseudomonadati; Pseudomonadota; Gammaproteobacteria; Oceanospirillales; Halomonadaceae.